Molecule: ribosomal RNA, 500 nt
Filed under: uncultured Glomeromycotina
Lineage: Eukaryota; Fungi; Glomeromycota
Description: SSU rRNA
Rfam family: Eukaryotic small subunit ribosomal RNA
Source: RNAcentral
CCAAUAGCGUAUAUUAAAGUUGUUGCAGUUAAAAAGCUCGUAGUUGAAUUUCGGGAUCAAUAUGUCGGUCGUGCCUUCGGUACGUACUGGUAUCAUUGGUCUCUCCUUUCUGACGAACCAUGAUGUCAUUAAUUUGGUGUUAUGGGGAGUUAGGACUGUUACUUUGAAAAAAUUAGAGUGUUUAAAGCAGGCUCACGCUUGAAUACAUUAGCAUGGAAUAAUGAAAUAGGACGUUUGAUUCUAUUUUGUUGGUUUCUAGGAUCGACGUAAUGAUUAAUAGGGAUAGUUGGGGGCAUUAGUAUUCAAUUGUCAGAGGUGAAAUUCUUGGAUUUAUUGAAGACUAACUACUGCGAAAGCAUUUGCCAAGGAUGUUUUCAUUAAUCAAGAACGAAAGUUAGGGGAUCGAAGACGAUCAGAUACCGUCGUAGUCUUAACCAUAAACUAUGCCGACUAGGGAUCGGAUGAUGUUAAUUUUUUAAUGACUCAUUCGGCGCCUUACG